RNAcentral lists this long non-coding RNA (276 nucleotides) under Elaeis guineensis (African oil palm). RNAcentral describes it as "long non-coding RNA (EGUI_LNC005997)". Lineage: Eukaryota; Viridiplantae; Streptophyta; Magnoliopsida; Arecales; Arecaceae. The record is from RNAcentral.
GGAUUAAAUAGGUCAGAAUCAGAUUAAAUAGGUUUUAAGCAGGUUAAACGGAUCUUAAAUAGGUUAAACAGAUUAAACAAAUCAGAUUAAAUGGGUCAGAAAUAGGUUAAACAAGUUAAAUGGAUUAUCUGACUCAACCCGAUCUGAAUAUUAAACGGAUUCAACGGAUCAAAUAUCUAAAAUUUAAAUCUGAUCUAAUUAUUAAACGGAUUAAACGGAUCGAUCCGUUUAUGACUCAACUUCAUUUAGCCUAAACUCAAAUCUAUUUAUGGUGGA